GUCGAUAGAACAAUGUAGAUAAGGAAAGUCGGCAAAAUAGAUCCGUAACUUCGGGAAAAGGAUUGGCUCUGAGGAUUGGGCUCAGGGGUCCCUGGUUUGACGUUGUGGCGGCUAGGAGAGACUGUGGCUCACGCUGCGGACUUUCCUGGCUGCCCUUCUGAAGGCCAGGGGAUGUGUUUCGGCACUUUCCCUGAUGCGUAGAACAAUCAGCUCAGAACUGGAGCGGACAAG
This 231-nucleotide ribosomal RNA is filed under the name Rhizochromulina marina. RNAcentral describes it as "partial Eukaryotic large subunit ribosomal RNA". It matches the Rfam family "Eukaryotic large subunit ribosomal RNA", at positions 1886 to 2127 of the family's 3401-position model. Lineage: Eukaryota; Dictyochophyceae; Rhizochromulinales. The record is from RNAcentral.